This 264-nucleotide ribosomal RNA is filed under the name uncultured prokaryote. RNAcentral's name for it is "partial 16S ribosomal RNA". It matches the Rfam family "Bacterial small subunit ribosomal RNA", at positions 524 to 788 of the family's 1533-position model. The record is from RNAcentral.
UACGUAGGGGCGAGCGUUAUCCGGAAUUAUUGGGCGUAAAGAGCGCGCAGGUGGUUGAUUAAGUCUGAUGUGAAAGCCCACGGCUUAACCGUGGAGGGUCAUUGGAAACUGGUCGACUUGAGUGCAGAAGAGGGAAGUGGAAUUCCAUGUGUAGCGGUGAAAUGCGUAGAGAUAUGGAGGAACACCAGUGGCGAAGGCGGCUUCCUGGUCUGUAACUGACACUGAGGCGCGAAAGCGUGGGGAGCAAACAGGAUUAGAUACCCU